Triticum dicoccoides is the source of this 797-nucleotide long non-coding RNA. RefSeq lists it as uncharacterized. The transcript is spliced from 3 exons. The record is from RefSeq and is a predicted model, not a curated record. NCBI's taxonomy places the organism in Eukaryota, Viridiplantae, Streptophyta, Magnoliopsida, Poales, Poaceae.
AAACGGGCCACCGGAGGGCAGAGGCUCGGGGCCUGGGCCCGUAUCCUCAGGGGUCGACGACGGCCACCGCGUCGACCUCGUUCCCGGCGGCAGGAUGCCAGCCGAAGCCUCCAACCUGCGGGGCCGACUUGGGAUCGCACCUUCGCCGUGUGAUCGCUCGCGGGUUCUCCUUGCCCUGCGAUCGCUUCUGCCGACAAGUGCAGCGUUAGUGGGUGGCAUGUGGAGACAAACAUGCGGCAGUGCCCACGUGGAAGCCUCUUCACCCUCAAAUGCUCGUCUUUGCUGCGUUGGUUGUUUAGGAUUACUUGAAAAAUGGGUCAAAUCUGCAUAUGGCUAGCAUAUACCCAUUUGCAUGGAAGGAAAAGCAAUACUGAGCACCUGCCAAAAGAUGUUCAUAGAGACCUACGACGUACAAGUUUUGUUUGGUAUGCUGACAGACAGGACAGCAUGCAGAAGCACUUGGACAAGUUGCGAUUGGAGAUUGUGGAGUCCAAGUCGAUGAAGAGAAGAUAGUGCACAGAGAGUCCAAGACUCUAGGGAAAAGGAGGAGAAUAUUAGGGAAAAUAAAUUUGGAAAUCCCGUUGUUUAUUAUUCUUGGAGGAAACCCAUUGUACUACUACCUCCAUCCCAAAAUAAGUAUCUCAACUUUAGUGCAACUUGUGCUAAAGUUAGAACAAACUUGAGACAUUUAUUUUGGGACAGAGGGAGUAUUAGGUAAGGUCUAACUAAGGACCCUAAUUGUGUUAGGAAAGGUCAAGGGCUUCAGCAUCCACUUUUAUAAAGAUGCGAUGCAUGUA